Long non-coding RNA from Phalaenopsis equestris, 518 nucleotides. RefSeq lists it as uncharacterized. The record is from RefSeq and is a predicted model, not a curated record. NCBI's taxonomy places the organism in Eukaryota, Viridiplantae, Streptophyta, Magnoliopsida, Asparagales, Orchidaceae. The transcript is spliced from 3 exons.
AACACUUCCUUUGCUUUAUUGCUACAGUGCCCUCUCUCAUUUCAGUCCCACUCUCACUCUGCCUCUGCUCUGCCGUAAGGUAGCAUCAUCCCUUUCUUACUGCAGAUCUCGGAGCUACAUUUCGUCCCCCAUUAUCUCGUUCUGGCUGGCUGAGGGCUUCUAUCAGGUUUUUUGCACCAAAAUGUUGGACGGGGAGUUGUGGAAAAUCUAAUCCUUGGUGGAUCUCACUGGUUCCAGAGUACAAGCAAAAUUCAUAUUUAUUAACUAGCUGUUCUGAAAUGGGGAAAUCUCCGGGGAAAUGGAUCAAAACUUUGCUUUUUGGGAAGAAAGCAACUAGAUCCAACUUAUCCAAAGGAAGGGAGGCCUCGAUUAUUCCACUAACAACAACAACAACAAACCUUUGUCCCACAAACCUUCAGGCUACAUUUUCAGAUUUUCUAACUUGGUCAAUCAAAAUUUGCCGGUUCUUAAUGAAAUGCAGUCUUCAAAUCUCAUGUUAAGAUGGGUUUGUUAAGUGC